UUUCCGUAGGUGGACCUGCGGAAGGAUCAUUAAAAAUGAAGCCGGGAAACCGGUCCUUCUAACCCUUGAUUAUCUUAAUUUGUUGCUUUGGUGGGCCGCGCAAGCACCGGCUUCGGCUGGAUCGUGCCCGCCAGAGGACACAACUCUGUAUCAAAUGUCGUCUGAGUACUAUAAAAUAGUUAAAACUUUCAACAACGGAUCUCUUGGUUCUG
This 212-nucleotide unclassified non-coding RNA is filed under the name plant metagenome. RNAcentral describes it as "partial contains small subunit ribosomal RNA, internal transcribed spacer 1, and 5.8S ribosomal RNA". The record is from RNAcentral.